RNAcentral lists this ribosomal RNA (423 nucleotides) under uncultured bacterium. RNAcentral's name for it is "bacterial SSU rRNA". It matches the Rfam family "Bacterial small subunit ribosomal RNA", at positions 28 to 437 of the family's 1533-position model. The record is from RNAcentral.
GAUGAACGCUGGCGGCGUGCCUAAUACAUGCAAGUCGAGCGAACGGACGAGAAGCUUGCUUCUCUGAUGUUAGCGGCGGACGGGGUGAGUAACACGUGGAUAACCUACCUAUAAGACUGGGAUAACUUCGGGAAACCGGAGCUAAUACCGGAUAAUAUUUUGAACCGCAUGGUUCAAAAAGUGAAAGACGGUCUUGCUGUCACUUAUAGAUGGAUCCGCGCUGCAUUAGCUAGUUGGUAAGGUAACGGCUUACCAAGGCAACGAUGCAUAGCCGACCUGAGAGGGUGAUCGGCCACACUGGAACUGAGACACGGUCCAGACUCCUACGGGAGGCAGCAGUAGGGAAUCUUCCGCAAUGGGCGAAAGCCUAGACGGAGCAACGCCGCGUGAGUGAUGAAGGUCUUCGGAUCGUAAAACUCUGUU